UGGUUUUCUCAUUGAGUCAAAGAUUAUCAACCGGUUCUUGGGAAUUUCAAUGACCAUGAGUAUCCAGUGAAAGCUGUUUACACACACAUAUAUAUAGUCAGUCCUAUAAUGUAAAAUAAAAUAUGCAUUCACUUAAUAACUAUAUAACUCACUCGAAGUUGAAGGGGAAGAGUAUUUUUUGUUUUUCUUUUUGGUUCACAAAGAACCUCAUAAGAUUGGUGCAGACUUCUGUCUCAUGAUCUGCUGUCCACACUGCCUGCGGAGCCUUGAAAACAAUAUAAGGGUCAAUGAACCCAAUACUAUUGUCAUUUCUCAUUCUGAGCUCUCUCAUUUGGUGCCUGCAUAUAUACAUACAAAUCCUAAGUGUGUAAGGAUUAUAUACAUGUAAUUAAAGAAGUUAGA
RNAcentral lists this long non-coding RNA (402 nucleotides) under Sorghum bicolor (sorghum). Its description in RNAcentral is "long non-coding RNA (SBIC_LNC007043)". Lineage: Eukaryota; Viridiplantae; Streptophyta; Magnoliopsida; Poales; Poaceae. The record is from RNAcentral.